Molecule: ribosomal RNA, 250 nt
Filed under: uncultured bacterium
Lineage: Bacteria
Description: partial small subunit ribosomal RNA
Rfam family: Bacterial small subunit ribosomal RNA
Source: RNAcentral
AGAAUCAACGCUGGCGGCGUGCCUAACACAUGCAAGUCGAACGAGAAAGGGGUAGCAAUACCCUGAGUAAAGUGGCGCACGGGUGAGUAACACGUGACUAACCUACCCUUGAGUGGGGGAUAACUGAGGGAAACCUUAGCUAAUACCGCAUAAUACCCACGGGUCAAAGGAGCAAUUCGCUCGAGGAGGGGGUCGCGGCCGAUUAGUUAGUUGGCGGGGUAAUGGCCCACCAAGACGAUGAUCGGUAUCC